UACGGAGGGUGCAAGCGUUAUCCGGAUUUAUUGGGUUUAAAGGGUGCGUAGGCGGCGAUUUAAGUCAGUGGUGAAAUGCUGCAGCUCAACUGUAGAACUGCCAUUGAAACUGAAUUGCUUGAGUGAUCUUGAAGUAGGCGGAAUGUGUAGUGUAGCGGUGAAAUGCUUAGAUAUUACACAGAACACCGAUUGCGAAGGCAGCUUACUAAGGGUUUACUGACGCUGAGGCACGAAAGCGUGGGGAUCAAACAGG
RNAcentral lists this ribosomal RNA (253 nucleotides) under uncultured bacterium. RNAcentral's name for it is "partial 16S ribosomal RNA". It matches the Rfam family "Bacterial small subunit ribosomal RNA", at positions 524 to 776 of the family's 1533-position model. The record is from RNAcentral.